This 497-nucleotide ribosomal RNA is filed under the name uncultured bacterium. RNAcentral's name for it is "partial 16S ribosomal RNA". It matches the Rfam family "Bacterial small subunit ribosomal RNA", at positions 28 to 507 of the family's 1533-position model. The record is from RNAcentral.
GAUGAACGCUGGCGGCGUGCCUAAUACAUGCAAGUCGAGCGAACAGACGAGGAGCUUGCGCCUCUGACGUUAGCGGCGGACGGGUGAGUAACACGUGUAUAACCUACCUAUAAGACGGGGAUAACUUCGGGAAACCGGAGCUAAUACCGGAUAACAUGUUGAACCGUAUGGUUCAACAGUGAAAGACGGUCUUGCUGUCACUUAUCGAGGGAUCCCGGCCGCAUUAGCUAGUUGGUAAGGUAACGGCUUAUCACGGCAAGGAUGCGUAGCCGACCGGAGAGGGUGAUCGGCCACACGAGAACUGGACCGCGCACAAGGCUCCUGAGAGAGGCAGCAGUAGGGAACGGUCCGCAGUAGGCGAGAACAUGGCGGAGCAGCGCGACGUGAGUGGAGGAGGUGCUGGGUGCGUAAAGAUCUGUUAUGAGGGGAGAACAAAUGUGUAAGUAACUAUGGACGGAGUGACGGUAACUGGUCAAGAAGCCACGGCUAACUACGUG